Molecule: ribosomal RNA, 253 nt
Filed under: uncultured bacterium
Lineage: Bacteria
Description: partial 16S ribosomal RNA
Rfam family: Bacterial small subunit ribosomal RNA
Source: RNAcentral
UACGGAGGGUGCAAGCGUUAUCCGGAUUCACUGGGGUUAAAGGGUGCGUAGGCGGGCAUGUAAGUCCGUGGUGAAAUCUCCGAGCUUAACUCGGAAACUGCCAUGGAUACUAUGUGUCUUGAAUGUUGUGGAGGUGAGCGGAAUAUGUCAUGUAGCGGUGAAAUGCUUAGAUAUGACAUAGAACACCAAUUGCGAAGGCAGCUCACUACACAAAUAUUGACGCUGAGGCACGAAAGCGUGGGGAGCAAACAGG